ACCUGGCUGGCUCAGUGGUGGAGCAUGUGACCCUUGAUCUUAGGUUGUGGGUUUGAGUCCCAUGUGGGGUA
Molecule: transfer RNA, 71 nt
Filed under: Felis catus (domestic cat)
Lineage: Eukaryota; Metazoa; Chordata; Mammalia; Carnivora; Felidae
Also listed under: 3 other names
Rfam family: tRNA
About the family: Transfer RNA (tRNA) molecules are approximately 80 nucleotides in length. Their secondary structure includes four short double-helical elements and three loops (D, anti-codon, and T loops). Further hydrogen bonds mediate the characteristic L-shaped molecular structure. tRNAs have two regions of fundamental functional importance: the anti-codon, which is responsible for specific mRNA codon recognition, and the 3' end, to which the tRNAs corresponding amino acid is attached (by aminoacyl-tRNA synthetases). tRNAs cope with the degeneracy of the genetic code in two manners: having more than one tRNA (with a specific anti-codon) for a particular amino acid; and 'wobble' base-pairing, i.e. permitting non-standard base-pairing at the 3rd anti-codon position.
Source: Rfam by way of RNAcentral